UGGGGAAUAUUGCACAAUGGGCGCAAGCCUGAUGCAGCCAUGCCGCGUGUAUGAAGAAGGCCUUCGGGUUGUAAAGUACUUUCAGCGGGGAGGAAGGGAGUAAAGUUAAUACCUUUGCUCAUUGACGUUACCCGCAGAAGAAGCACCGGCUAACUCCGUGCCAGCAGCCGCGGUAAUACGGAGGGUGCAAGCGUUAAUCGGAAUUACUGGGCGUAAAGCGCACGCAGGCGGUUUGUUAAGUCAGAUGUGAAAUCCCCGGGCUCAACCUGGGAACUGCAUCUGAUACUGGCAAGCUUGAGUCUCGUAGAGGGGGGUAGGAUUCCAGGUGUAGCGAUGAAAUGCGUAGAGAUCUGGAGGAAUACCGGUGGCGAAGGCGGCCCCCUGGACGAAGACUGACGCUCAGGUGCGAAAGCGUGGGGAGCAAACAGG
RNAcentral lists this ribosomal RNA (429 nucleotides) under Chloroflexota bacterium. RNAcentral's name for it is "Chloroflexi bacterium partial 16S ribosomal RNA". It matches the Rfam family "Bacterial small subunit ribosomal RNA", at positions 355 to 776 of the family's 1533-position model. The record is from RNAcentral. Lineage: Bacteria; Bacillati; Chloroflexota.